Molecule: ribosomal RNA, 821 nt
Filed under: Stichodactyla haddoni
Lineage: Eukaryota; Metazoa; Cnidaria; Anthozoa; Actiniaria; Stichodactylidae
Description: SSU rRNA
Rfam family: Eukaryotic small subunit ribosomal RNA
Source: RNAcentral
UGUUGUAGCUGACCUGAAAAAGGAUCAUUGACCUGGCUGUCCUUUAUUUGACCGUACUUAGACUGCUUGAAUAACCUUGCUAAUUCUAGAGCUAAUACAUGCGAAAAGUCCCGACUUCCGGAAGGGAUGUAUUUAUUAGAUUCAAAACCAAUGCGGGUUCCGCCCGGUCCUUUGGUGAUUCAUAGUAACUGAUCGAAUCGCACGGCCUUGCGCUGGCGAUGUUUCAUUCAAAUUUCUGCCCUAUCAACUGUCGAUGGUAAGGUAUUGGCUUACCAUGGUUACAACGGGUGACGGAGAAUUAGGGUUCGAUUCCGGAGAGGGAGCCUGAGAAACGGCUACCACAUCCAAGGAAGGCAGCAGGCGCGCAAAUUACCCAAUCCUGACUCAGGGAGGUAUUGACAAGAAAUAACAAUACAGGGCUUUUCAAAGUCUUGUAUUUGGAAUGAGUACAACUUAAAUCCUUUAACGAGGAUCCAUUGGAGGGCAAGUCUGGUGCCAUCAGCCGCGGUAAUUCCAGCUCCAAUAGCGUAUAUUAAAGUUGUUGCAGUUAAAAAGCUCGUAUUUGGAUUUCGGGGUGGCACGGCCGGUCCGCCGCAAGGUGUGUCACUGGCCGGGCCGCCCUUCUUCGAAAGACUGCGUGUGCUCUUAACUGAUUGUGCGUAGGACUUGUGACGUUUUACUUUGAAAAAAAUUAAGUGUUCAAAGCAGGCCAGCGCUUGAAUACAUAAGCAUGGAAUAAUGGAAUAAGGAUUUUGGUUCUUUUUGUUNGUUUCUGGAACCGAAGUAAUGAUUAAGAGGGACAGUUGGUUGCUUUCUUAUUU